CCUACGGGUGGCUGCAGUCGAGAAUCAUUCACAAUGGGGGAAACCCUGAUGGUGCGACGCCGCGUGGGGGAAUGAAGGUCUUCGGAUUGUAAACCCCUGUCAUGUGGGAGCAAAUUAAAAAGAUAGUACCACAAGAGGAAGAGACGGCUAACUCUGUGACAGCAGCCGCGGUAAUACAGAAGUCUCAAGCGUUGUUCGGAAUCACUGGGCGUAAAGCGUGCGUAGGCUGUUUCGUAAGUCGUGUGUGAAAGGCGCGGGCUCAAGCCGCGGACGGCACAUGAUACUGCGAGACUAGAGUAAGGGAGGGGGAACCGGAAUUCUCGGUGUAGCAGUGAAAUGCGUAGAUAUCGAGAGGAACACUCGUGGCGAAGGCGGGUUCCUGGACAUUAACUGACGCUGAGGCACGAAGGCCAGGGGAGCGAAAGGGAUUAGAUACCCUUGUAGUC
Molecule: ribosomal RNA, 446 nt
Filed under: uncultured bacterium
Lineage: Bacteria
Description: partial 16S ribosomal RNA
Rfam family: Bacterial small subunit ribosomal RNA
Source: RNAcentral